This 929-nucleotide ribosomal RNA is filed under the name uncultured archaeon. Its description in RNAcentral is "bacterial SSU rRNA". It matches the Rfam family "Bacterial small subunit ribosomal RNA", at positions 504 to 1436 of the family's 1533-position model. The record is from RNAcentral.
UGUGCCAGCAGCCGCGGUAAUACGUAGGGUGCGAGCGUUAAUCGGAAUUACUGGGCGUAAAGCGUGCGCAGGCGGCUUUUUAAGACAGGUGUGAAAUCCCCGGGCUUAACCUGGGAAUGGCGCUUGUGACUGGGAAGCUGGAGUGCGGCAGAGGGGGAUGGAAUUCCACGUGUAGCAGUGAAAUGCGUAGAGAUGUGGAGGAACACCGAUGGCGAAGGCAGUCCCCCGGGUCAGCACUGACGCUCAUGCACGAAAGCGUGGGGAGCAAACAGGAUUAGAUACCCUGGUAGUCCACGCCCUAAACGAUGUCAACUAGUUGUUGGGGAAGGAGACUUCCUUAGUAACGUAGCUAACGCGUGAAGUUGACCGCCUGGGGAGUACGGCCGCAAGGUUAAAACUCAAAGGAAUUGACGGGGACCCGCACAAGCGGUGGAUGAUGUGGAUUAAUUCGAUGCAACGCGAAAAACCUUACCUACCCUUGACAUGUCCGGAAUCCUGCAGAGAUGCGGGAGUGCCCGAAAGGGAAUCGGAACACAGGUGCUGCAUGGCUGUCGUCAGCUCGUGUCGCGAGAUGUUGGGUUAAGUCCCGCAACGAGCGCAACCCUUAUCAUUAGUUGCUACGCAAGGGCACUCUAAUGAGACUGCCGGUGACAAACCGGAGGAAGGUGGGGAUGACGUCAAGUCCUCAUGGCCCUUAUGGGUAGGGCUUCACACGUCAUACAAUGGUCGGUACAGAGGGUUGCCAAGCCGCGAGGUGGAGCCAAUCCCAGAAAGCCGAUCGUAGUCCGGAUUGUUCUCUGCAACUCGAGAGCAUGAAGUCGGAAUCGCUAGUAAUCGCGGAUCAGCAUGUCGCGGUGAAUACGUUCCCGGGUCUUGUACACACCGCCCGUCACACCAUGGGAGUUGGCUGCACCAGAAGCAGGUUGCUU